AGUGAACGCUGGCGGCAGGCCUAAUACAUGCAAGUCGAACGGCAGCACGGCAGAGCUUGCUCUGUGGGUGGCGAGUGGCGGACGGGUGAGGAAUACAUGGGAAUCUGCCCAGUCGUGGGGGAUAACGUAGGGAAACUUACGCUAAUACCGCAUGCGCCCUUCGGGGGAAAGCCGGGGACCUUCGGGCCUGGCGCGAUUGGAUGAGCCCAUGUCGGAUUAGCUAGUUGCGGGGUAAUGGCCCACCAAGGCGACGAUCCGUAGCUGGUCUGAGAGGAUGAUCAGCACACUGGAACUGAGACACGGUCCAGACUCCUACGGGAGGCAGCAGUAGGGAAUAUUGGACAAUGGGCGCAAGCCUGAUCCAGCCAUGCCGCGUGAGUGAAGAAGGCCCUCGGGUUGUAAAGCUCUUUUGUUCCGGAAAG
This 422-nucleotide ribosomal RNA is filed under the name uncultured bacterium. Its description in RNAcentral is "bacterial SSU rRNA". It matches the Rfam family "Bacterial small subunit ribosomal RNA", at positions 29 to 448 of the family's 1533-position model. The record is from RNAcentral.